This 433-nucleotide ribosomal RNA is filed under the name uncultured bacterium. Its description in RNAcentral is "partial 16S ribosomal RNA". It matches the Rfam family "Bacterial small subunit ribosomal RNA", at positions 29 to 507 of the family's 1533-position model. The record is from RNAcentral.
AACGAACGCUGGCGGCAUGCCUAACACAUGCAAGUCGAACGAGGCCUUCGGGUCUAGUGGCGCACGGGUGCGUAACGCGUGGGAACCUGCCCCUAGGUUCGGAAUAACUCCCCGAAAGGGGUGCUAAUACCGGAUAAUGUCUUCGGACCAAAGAUUUAUCGCCUUUGGAUGGGCCCGCGUUGGAUUAGCUAGUCGGUAGGGUAAAAGCCUACCAAGGCGACGAUCCAUAGCUGGUCUGAGAGGAUGAUCAGCCACACUGGGACUGAGACACGGCCCAGACUCCUACGGGAGGCAGCAGUGGGGAAUAUUGGACAAUGGGCGAAAGCCUGAUCCAGCAAUGCCGCGUGAGUGAUGAAGGCCUUAGGGUUGUAAAGCUCUUUUACACGGGAUGAUAAUGACAGUACCGGGAGAAUAAGCUCCGGCUAACUCCGUG